GUAUUUGAACUCUGAUAGUGAUACUAUAUUAAAUUUUAAUUUAUUAUGGAUUUCUAACUUAAUAUUAAUGGAUUUAGUAGAUUAACCGUAACUCUUUAUAUAUUAUUUAAGAUUUCUUUGAAUUAUCGAUUUGAGAUACUUAUCCCUGAUAAAAUCAAAACCAAAUUCCAGAAAAAACUUGCUUGUACCGUAAUUCAUAUAUACACAUGAUGUAUACAUGUCGUAGAACUACCUAAUCGUGAUGCAAAAGAAAUAUGUUUCGAGUGGCGCGAGAAGAAACCUCGUAAUAUCGUAGUGUAGUUAAUUGAGUGAAGUGGUUUUUAUGAAAAGAAUAGAACUUGAAAAGAAUAUGUUUGGGUGUAUUCGACAGAUUGCAUUUUUAAUUACAAAAACGUUUUAACUAGGAACCGAAAAACAGACAUAGGGGGCUACGUGGGUGUAUCUGCCAUGUAGAAAAUCGAAGCGCAUGCACUAAGUUGGACUCAUGAUGAGACCUCACAUGCUCUUUCAUUUAGUUUUACUCUCUUUCUCUCUCCGUAUUAUUAUUAAAUUGCGUAUAUUUAAUUUUUUUUUUUUAAUAUUUGCCCACCGUAUAUUAAUACGUAGGCUGUAGUUAUAAGAAGUUAGCCGUUUGCCCAGACAUUGAUUCUGUACAAAUAGUUACUGUACCCAAUCGAGACUAUUACAGAACCAAGCACAGAUUGUACUGAACAAUGCCACACUUGUCUUUUCCUUUUCUUGACUUUCUUGAAAACGAAAACGAUGAAAACUAAAUCGAAUUCGUACCUAAUGACUGAAAAUAUAUUUUGACAUGAAGUCCUAUCAAACUAGUUAAGCCAGAAACAAUAAUAACACUCCUGUUUUUUAUAUCCCAUAAAAGAAAUUAAGAAAUUAAUAUUUUUAGCAGAAUUAAUUACUUUUAUUUAAAUAAAGACCUUUCACGCUUCUCACAAGCUCAAUGACAUUCCACACAAUGUUUUUUUUUUUUUUUUUGAAAAAACAUUCCACACAAUGUUCCUCAUGCAACAAUCGAAACAUCAUCAACUUAGUGCAUACAGAUAUCUUCGUACAUACACACACAUGAUGAUAACAUUGUACAUAGUACAUAUAUCAGCAUCACCAUCAUGAUGGAUCAUAGCGAGAAAUAACCAUGUUAUGUCCUUCUCACAUAGAUAAAGACCCGUUUCGUCAAAUAUCCGUUCUCUUCUGACAACAAUUUCAUUUUUUUUGUUUCUCGAAUAAUAAUAUAAAAAAAACAAAGAUUGGCCUGUCUCUCUGCCUGCUCAUUUAGUUAAUU
This 1297-nucleotide long non-coding RNA is filed under the name Brassica rapa (field mustard). RNAcentral's name for it is "long non-coding RNA (BRAP_LNC003328)". The record is from RNAcentral. Lineage: Eukaryota; Viridiplantae; Streptophyta; Magnoliopsida; Brassicales; Brassicaceae.